CCUACGGGUGGCAGCAGUGGGGAAUAUUGCGCAAUGGGCGAAAGCCUGACGCAGCGACGCCGCGUGAGGGAUGAAGGUCUUCGGAUCGUAAACCUCUGUCAGUAGGGAAGAACGGACACAGUGCUAAUCAGCAGUGAAUUGACGGUACCUGCAAAGGAAGCACCGGCUAACUCCGUGCCAGCCGCCGCGGUUAUACGGUGGGUGCGAGCGUUAAUCGGAAUUACUGGUCGGAAAGCGGUCGUUGGCGGUCUGUCAAGUCAAGGGUGAAAUCCCCGCGCUCAACGUGGGAACUGCCUUUGAAACUGGAAAACUGGAGUGUGUGAGAGGAUAGUGGAAUUCCAGGUGUAGGAGUGAAAUCCGUAGAUAUCUGGAGGAACAUCAGUGGCGAAGGCGACUAUCUGGCACAUAACUGACGCUGAGGAGCGAAAGCGUGGGUAGCAAACAGGAUUAGAUACCCGAGUAGUC
This 465-nucleotide ribosomal RNA is filed under the name uncultured bacterium. RNAcentral's name for it is "partial 16S ribosomal RNA". It matches the Rfam family "Bacterial small subunit ribosomal RNA", at positions 338 to 795 of the family's 1533-position model. The record is from RNAcentral.